Molecule: long non-coding RNA, 660 nt
Organism: Hyaena hyaena (striped hyena)
Lineage: Eukaryota; Metazoa; Chordata; Mammalia; Carnivora; Hyaenidae
Exons: 3
Source: RefSeq, a predicted model, not a curated record
CUGAAAGUUCUCCACUGGACUUCUGGACUUCCACAGAGUCACUUCACCAUGAAUGAUUGUCUUGAGAAAGGGCACUGAGAGUAGCUAAAGCCAGGACAUAAGCCACUGCUGGGACCACAAACAAGACUGAGUUCUGGCUGAGACUUCAGAUUCCAAGAAGAAAACAAUAGCAAGCAAGUGCUUCCACAUUCCACACUGAGCUGGCCUAACCAUUUGACAAGCCUGCGUGACCAAUUAAAUGGCCAAUAGAAGCUUCUCACGGAACUGUCCUGAAGCCAAAAUUCCUUGCACAGAUCAAGCUUGAUCAAGAUGAAGACAGGAUGAUACAUGUGUGAUACAGACAUAUGAAUAGUAGCCCUGGGAAAUCUGUUGUGGAAUAUCUUUCAGACACCUGUUGCUUGCUUCCAAUCUCUUUUUGCUUUUGUACCUUAUUCUUUGCCUCUAAGUAAUAGUCUCACAUUUGUGUUCUCUGUGGCGUCUGACUGAAUGCUUUCAAAUAUCCACAGUGGGAAAAAAUCUUUGCAACCUGACAAAGGGCAUAUAAGAAAUACUAAUAGUUUAUACUAAUGGUGAAAGACUGAAUGCUUUACCUCUAAGAUUAGCAGCAAAGCAAGGUGAUACAUUUUCAUUAUUUCUCUUCAACAUUAUACUGGAGAUUCU